GACGAACGCUGGCGGCGUGCCUAAUACAUGCAAGUAGAACGCUGAAGGAGGAGCUUGCUUCUCCGGAUGAGUUGCGAACGGGUGAGUAACGCGUAGGUAACCUGCCUGGUAGCGGGGGAUAACUAUUGGAAACGAUAGCUAAUACCGCAUAACAGUAGAUGUUGCAUGACAUUUGCUUAAAAGGUGCAAUUGCAUCACUACCAGAUGGACCUGCGUUGUAUUAGCUAGUUGGUGAGGUAACGGCUCACCAAGGCGACGAUACAUAGCCGACCUGAGAGGGUGAUCGGCCACACUGGGAAUGAGACACGGCCCAGACUCCUACGGGAGGCAGCAGUAGGGAAUCUUCGGCAAUGGACGGAAGUCUGACCGAGCAACGCCGCGUGAGUGAAGAAGGUUUUCGGAUCGUAAAGCUCUGUUGUAAGAGAAGAACGAGUGUGAGAGUGGAAAGUUCACACUGUGACGGUAUCUUACCAGAAAGGGACGGCUAACUACGUG
This 495-nucleotide ribosomal RNA is filed under the name uncultured bacterium. Its description in RNAcentral is "partial 16S ribosomal RNA". It matches the Rfam family "Bacterial small subunit ribosomal RNA", at positions 28 to 507 of the family's 1533-position model. The record is from RNAcentral.